CCUGGCUCAGGAUGAACGCUAGCGACAGGCCUAACACAUGCAAGUCGAGGGGGCAUCGGGGGUUGAAGCUUGCUUUAACUGCCGGCGACCGGCGCACGGGUGAGUAACACGUAUGCAACCUGCCCGUCACAGGGGUAUAAUCGAUGGAAACGUCGUCUAAUCCCCCAUAUAAUCAUUAUGCCGCAUGGUGAGAUGAUGAAAGCUAAUUGUGGUGACGGAUGGGCAUGCGGUGCAUUAGCUAGUAGGCGGGGUAACGGCCCACCUAGGCUACGAUGCAUAGGGGUUCUGAGAGGAAGGUCCCCCACACUGGUACUGAGACACGGACCAGACUCCUACGGGAGGCAGCAGUGAGGAAUAUUGGUCAAUGGUCUAACGACUGAACCAGCCAUGCCGCGUGAAGGUCACGGCCCUAUGGGUUGUAAACUUCUUUUGUUUGGGAAUAAAGUUCGGGACGUGUCCCGUUUUGUAUGUACCAUUCGAAUAAGCAUCGGCUAAUUCCGUG
This 502-nucleotide ribosomal RNA is filed under the name uncultured bacterium. RNAcentral describes it as "bacterial SSU rRNA". It matches the Rfam family "Bacterial small subunit ribosomal RNA", at positions 18 to 507 of the family's 1533-position model. The record is from RNAcentral.